GGGAACCCAGGACCUAGAUGUCCUUAGCUCCAAGUCCUGCUGGCACAGAAAAGGGAGGCGGGGCCACAGCUUAUGCUGGGUCUCCGAUUCCUCUGGGGCAACCCAGGCCGGACACAGGGCCAGUCCCUCCCUCCAGACGAAGACCAGACAGGGGCAGCCGGGAGGGGCGAGGGUCCCCGGGGGCAUCAAGUGAGGCAGCUCCACCCCUCCCCCCUGACCUCCUGCAAGACCCAGAACCAAUCCCCACGUCCCCCUCUCGCCGGAGCCCCUAGAGCCCCAGCCCUGGGUGAGGGUACAUGUCGGCCCGAUCGCGGUCCCCAGAACCCCAAAUGGAGGCCAAGGCUAGAGGGUGAUAGGAAGAGGAACGGCCAGGCGUGGAGAGGGCCCCUGGCGCAGCGCGCGGAUUACCUUCUGUGACCCUCUCCCCCACCCCCCACAACCUGCUCCCAGAUGGGUAUUGGAAGAGUGACGUGAGAAGGGCAGAGAUCUCCAUGUACCUGUGGAAAAGGUGAUUGUUGACCUUGAUCUUGGAGCUGGCCUUAAAGUCAUCUGGCAGCAGCAUCACUGGGGGAGGCACCUGGCUGAGCUCAUUGAUCUGAUAAGCAAAAACAAGAAUAGGGAGUCAGUGAGUAGGGUGUGGAGAGCUACUUCUACACCGUGUCUGGGUAAGAGUCAGAAAAGGGCAACUCAAACCUCAUUCGUUUAAAAACCCUGGUUAUGCAACUACUUGCCAGAGGUGAGAGAAUGCGUCUGACCUCUGCUGCUGCCCAGCAAGGACUGCAGUAAGCAACCCCCGCACACAGCCCCUCACAUUCCACCCCCGUGGAACUUCAUGCUCACAGCAGUCAUCUUAUAUUAGGCAAACCCUGUAAGCAGCUCAGGCCUAUUUUUAAAGCUGUGAGAAGUUCUACAGAAAAAAAAAAUACCCUCAGCAGACUCAAGACAAA
Long non-coding RNA from Suricata suricatta (meerkat), 947 nucleotides. RefSeq lists it as uncharacterized. The record is from RefSeq and is a predicted model, not a curated record. Lineage: Eukaryota; Metazoa; Chordata; Mammalia; Carnivora; Herpestidae. The transcript is spliced from 3 exons.